This 68-nucleotide transfer RNA is filed under the name marine eukaryotic metagenome. It matches the Rfam family "tRNA", at positions 5 to 66 of the family's 71-position model. Rfam says of the family: Transfer RNA (tRNA) molecules are approximately 80 nucleotides in length. Their secondary structure includes four short double-helical elements and three loops (D, anti-codon, and T loops). Further hydrogen bonds mediate the characteristic L-shaped molecular structure. tRNAs have two regions of fundamental functional importance: the anti-codon, which is responsible for specific mRNA codon recognition, and the 3' end, to which the tRNAs corresponding amino acid is attached (by aminoacyl-tRNA synthetases). tRNAs cope with the degeneracy of the genetic code in two manners: having more than one tRNA (with a specific anti-codon) for a particular amino acid; and 'wobble' base-pairing, i.e. permitting non-standard base-pairing at the 3rd anti-codon position. The record is from RNAcentral.
CCGUAGCUCAACUGGAUAGAGCGUUGCCCUCCGAAGGCAAAGGUUGUAGGUUCAAAUCCCAUCGGGUG